Molecule: ribosomal RNA, 377 nt
Filed under: uncultured Glomus
Lineage: Eukaryota; Fungi; Glomeromycota; Glomeromycetes; Glomerales; Glomeraceae
Description: SSU rRNA
Rfam family: Eukaryotic small subunit ribosomal RNA
Source: RNAcentral
AGCAGCCGCGGUAAUUCCAGCUUCAAUAGCGUAUAUUAAAGUUGUUGCAGUUAAAAAGCUCGUAGUUGAAUUUCGGGAUCAGUAUGUUGGUCGUGCUUCGGUACGUACUGUCAUUAAUGGUUUCUACCUUCUGAAGAACCUUGAUGUCAUUAAUUUGGUGUCUUGGGGAAUCAGGACUGUUACUUUGAAAAAAUUAGAGUGUUUAAAGCAAGCAUACGCUUGAAUGCAUUAGCAUGGAAUAAUGAAAUAGGACGUUUGAUUCUAUUUUGUUGGUUUCUAGGAUCGACGUAAUGAUUAAUAGGGAUAGUUGGGGGCAUUAGUAUUCAAUUGUCAGAGGUGAAAUCCUUGGAUUUAUUGAAGACUAACUACUGCGAAAG